This 376-nucleotide ribosomal RNA is filed under the name uncultured bacterium. RNAcentral describes it as "bacterial SSU rRNA". It matches the Rfam family "Bacterial small subunit ribosomal RNA", at positions 523 to 897 of the family's 1533-position model. The record is from RNAcentral.
AUACAGAGGGUGCAAGCGUUGUUCGGAAUUAUUGGGCGUAAAGCGCGUGUAGGCGGCGUGACAAGUCGGGUGUGAAAGCCCUCAGCUCAACUGAGGAAGUGCGCCCGAAACUGUCGUGCUUGAGUGCCGGAGAGGGUGGCGGAAUUCCCCAAGUAGAGGUGAAAUUCGUAGAUAUGGGGAGGAACACCGGUGGCGAAGGCGGCCACCUGGACGGUAACUGACGCUGAGACGCGAAAGCGUGGGGAGCAAACAGGAUUAGAUACCCUGGUAGUCCACGCCGUAAACGAUGAGAACUAGGUGUCGUGGGAGUUGACCCCCGCGGUGCCGAAGCUAACGCAUUAAGUUCUCCGCCUGGGAAGUACGGUCGCAAGACUAA